Molecule: ribosomal RNA, 494 nt
Filed under: uncultured bacterium
Lineage: Bacteria
Description: partial 16S ribosomal RNA
Rfam family: Bacterial small subunit ribosomal RNA
Source: RNAcentral
AUUGAACGCUGGCGGCAUGCCUUACACAUGCAAGUCGAACGGUAGAGGAGCAAUCCUCGAGAGUGGCGAACGGGUGAGUAAUGCAUCGGAACGUGCCCAGGAAUGGGGGAUAGCACGGCGAAGGCCGGAUUAAUACCGCAUACGACCGAAGGGUGAAAGAGGGGGAUCGCAAGCCCGCUCGGUAUUGGAGCGGCCGAUGUCAGAUUAGGUAGUUGGUGGGGUAAAGGCCUACCAAGCCAACGAUCUGUAGCUGGUCUGAGAGGACGACCAGCCACACUGGGACUGAGACACGGCCCAGACUCCUACGGGAGGCUGCAGUGGGGAAUUUUGGACAAUGGGCGCAAGCCUGAUCCAGCCAUGCCGCGUGCGGGAAGAAGGCCUUCGGGUUGUAAACCGCUUUUGUCAGGGAAGAAAUCUUCUGGGUUAAUACCUCGGGAGGAUGACGGUACCUGAAGAAUAAGCACCGGCUAACUACGUGCCAGCCGCCGCCGUAA